Ostrea edulis (European flat oyster) is the source of this 1303-nucleotide long non-coding RNA. RefSeq lists it as uncharacterized. The transcript is spliced from 3 exons. The record is from RefSeq and is a predicted model, not a curated record. NCBI's taxonomy places the organism in Eukaryota, Metazoa, Mollusca, Bivalvia, Ostreida, Ostreidae.
UCCAAUGCUGUUGUUCAAAAUGCUAACAUCAUCAGAAUGAGAUUUGACUUCAGUGACUCCAGUGGUUGCAAUGUCUUUGAAAAAUUUGGGAGUUUCAAGACAACAUGCGUGCAAGUUAUUAUUUUUAGUUGGUUUAUGAACAAUCAAAAACAUGUCUGGAUGCAAUUCGUGUAUAUAGUGUGUUGGAAAAAGCAGAAGACUGCAUAGAUCACCCUCACGGCAUUAUAGGAAACAUAAAAGUCAAUCAUAUACUAAGAAGAUGCUUGCUGAUAUUUUGGAAUAAUAUCUUAUCUUGAACAAACAUUAGACAAUUUGUAUUAUCACUCGGUAGAUCUUUCAUCAAACGAGACGAUUAGGCCGAUAUCACCUAAAGUUCAUCCCCGCUGUUCAUUUUACACGUUCUACAAAUAUUUGUAUGUUUAUGUAUAUGUUUAUUUCUAACGAUACAGUGUUCAUUACAUCAAUGAAUUCAUUUUACGACAAUACGGCACGAGGAUAUACAAGCUUCAUGAGGGAACACUUUAUUGAGAUUGAAGACGAUGGCUAAACGAAGAAGUGGAUAACUCAUUACAUCUGUUGUUACUAAUACAUAUCUAGAAUUUUGUCCUUGACUUUUUAAGCAGAGACAAUUCGGUGCAGCUCUCAACAAUAAUUUAGAUGAUUGGGCUGAUGAGAGUGUCGAUGAAUGAUGAAUACACCUAGGAAAACUGACUCUGAACAGAGAGAUGACCGAUUAUCUUUGGCGAAAGAUACUGCUAAUGAAAUAUUAUUGAGAUGAACCCUGAUUUACCUAUUCACCUGAAGGAUAAACAUUCACCUGUCCCUUAGAAGAAAUAGAAGGGAAGGGAAAAAAGUGACUAUUUUUUGUUUGAUGAUGUUAAACGUAACGCUACCAGCAGUCCACGUGUCAGUGUGCCAAUACAAUCAUCGAAAGUUAAUUGACAAAAUGCCUUCGGGGAAUGAGAUGACUAUACUACUUCAAAUCGACAAUCAUUCACCCCUAUUGUUCACUAAUCACCGCAGCAGGUGACUGUGUGAUAUUUUGCAUAUCAAACAAUGUAAGCACAAUUGAUUAAUAAUUUUGUCUGAUUUCACCUGACUUUGCAAAUGAUUCAUCUAGCAUUAAUAUCGUCGAUAUAUCGAUUAUAAAUUAGUUUGCAGUUCAAAGAAAUGAAAGCUACUUUAACCUCAUUCUCAAUUAGAUGUCCCCUGGUUAAGUGAGUAUAAAUAUGAGUAUUAAUAAUCACUGCUUCCUAUGGACAUCUGCUGUGAGUCCUUGAGGUCUAUAAAUUUGACCUAGUAA